RNAcentral lists this ribosomal RNA (430 nucleotides) under uncultured bacterium. RNAcentral describes it as "bacterial SSU rRNA". It matches the Rfam family "Bacterial small subunit ribosomal RNA", at positions 355 to 774 of the family's 1533-position model. The record is from RNAcentral.
UGCGGAAUUUUAGAUAAUGGAGGGAACUCUGAUCUAGCGACGCCGCGUGCAGGAAGAAGGUCUUCGGAUUGUAAACUGCUGUGGUAAGGGAAAAAUGCUAUGUAGAGUGGAAAGCUACAUAGAGGGAUGGUACCUUACUAGAAAGCCCCGGCUAACUACGUGCCAGCAGCCGCGGUAAUACGUAGGGGGCGAGCGGUACCCGGAAUCACUGGGCGUAAAGGGAGCGUAGGUGGCCUAACAUGUCAACUGUGAAAACCCGGAGCUCAACUCCGGACUUGCAGUUGAAACUGGUAGGCUUGAGGACGGUAGAGGAAGACGGAACUGCCAGUGUAGGGGGUAAAAUCCUUAGAUAUUGGCAGGAACGCCGGUGACGAAGGUGGUUUUCUGGGCCGGUUCUGACACUGAUGCUCGAAAGCCAGGGGAGCGAACG